Mycena polygramma is the source of this 115-nucleotide non-coding RNA. The record is from the annotation of a GenBank genome assembly. NCBI's taxonomy places the organism in Eukaryota, Fungi, Basidiomycota, Agaricomycetes, Agaricales, Mycenaceae.
GGUUCGAUGGUGUAGUUGGUUAUCACUUCUGUCUAACAUGCGAACGAGAGCGGUCUAAUAACCAACCUCACAAGCUGUUCACAGGCGGUCCUCAGUUCGAACCUGGGUCGAAUCA